AUGGCUUCUCGGCCUUUUGGCUAAGAUCAAAUGUAGUAUGACAAUUCGUGAGUCAAUUCCUUGUCUUUCAUGACUUUGACUUAUGAAGAACAGUGGUCAGUUAUUUUGUGGACUGUCCCUAAUAUUUUUUUCUGAUUUAAUAAUAUUAUCAACAAGAAUCAUUUAC
RNAcentral lists this small nuclear RNA (166 nucleotides) under Equus asinus (donkey). RNAcentral describes it as "U2 spliceosomal RNA (ENSEASG00005034279.1, ENSEASG00020027048.1)". It matches the Rfam family "U2 spliceosomal RNA". Rfam says of the family: U2 is a small nuclear RNA (snRNA) component of the spliceosome (involved in pre-mRNA splicing). Lineage: Eukaryota; Metazoa; Chordata; Mammalia; Perissodactyla; Equidae. The record is from Rfam by way of RNAcentral.